Molecule: ribosomal RNA, 409 nt
Filed under: bacterium
Lineage: Bacteria
Description: partial 16S ribosomal RNA
Rfam family: Bacterial small subunit ribosomal RNA
Source: RNAcentral
UGGGGAAUAUUGCACAAUGGGCGAAAGCCUGAUGCAGCGACGCCGCGUGAGGGAUGACGGCCUUCGGGUUGUAAACCUCUUUCAGCAGGGACGAAGCGCAAGUGACGGUACCUGCAGAAGAAGCACCGGCUAACUACUUGCCAGCAGCCGCGGUAAUACGUAGGGUGCAAGCGUUGUCCGGAAUUACUGGGCGUAAAGAGUUCGUAGGCGGUUUGUCGCGUCGUUUGUGAAAACCAGCAGCUCAACUGCUGGCUUGCAGGCGAUACGGGCAGACUUGAGUACUGCAGGGGAGACUGGAAUUCCUGGUGUAGCGGUGAAAUGCGCAGAUAUCAGGAGGAACACCGGUGGCGAAGGCGGGUCUCUGGGCAGUAACUGACGCUGAGGAACGAAAGCGUGGGUAGCGAACAGG